UGGGGAAUAUUGCACAAUGGGGGAAACCCUGAUGCAGCGACGCCGCGUGAGUGAAGAAGUAUCUCGGUACGUAAAGCUCUAUCAGCAGGGAAGAAAAUGACGGUACCUGACCAAGAAGCCCCGGCUAACUACGUGCCAGCAGCCGCGGUAAUACGUAGGGGGCAAGCGUUAUCCGGAUUUACUGGGUGUAAAGGGAGCGUAGACGGCAGCACAAGUCUGGAGUGAAAUCCCGGGGCUUAACCCCGGAACUGCUUUGGAAACUGUGCGGCUGGAGUGCAGGAGGGGUAAGCGGAAUUCCUAGUG
RNAcentral lists this ribosomal RNA (303 nucleotides) under uncultured bacterium. RNAcentral describes it as "bacterial SSU rRNA". It matches the Rfam family "Bacterial small subunit ribosomal RNA", at positions 355 to 675 of the family's 1533-position model. The record is from RNAcentral.